GGGUUGCUAACUCAACGGUAGAGUACUCGGCUUUUAACCGAAUCGUUCCGGGUUCGAAUCCCGGGCAGCCCAC
Molecule: transfer RNA, 73 nt
Filed under: Utricularia foliosa
Lineage: Eukaryota; Viridiplantae; Streptophyta; Magnoliopsida; Lamiales; Lentibulariaceae
Description: tRNA-Lys
Rfam family: tRNA
About the family: Transfer RNA (tRNA) molecules are approximately 80 nucleotides in length. Their secondary structure includes four short double-helical elements and three loops (D, anti-codon, and T loops).
Source: RNAcentral